CCUUGGGGCAGGCCUACACAUGCAAGUCGAGCGGAUGAGAGGAGCUUGCUCCUGGAUUCAGCGGCGGACGGGUGAGUAAUGCCUAGGAAUCUGCCUGGUAGUGGGGGACAACGUUUCGAAAGGAACGCUAAUACCGCAUACGUCCUACGGGAGAAAGCAGGGGACCUUCGGGCCUUGCGCUAUCAGAUGAGCCUAGGUCGGAUUAGCUAGUUGGUGAGGUAAUGGCUCACCAAGGCGACGAUCCGUAACUGGUCUGAGAGGAUGAUCAGUCACACUGGAACUGAGACACGGUCCAGACUCCUACGGGAGGCAGCAGUGGGGAAUAUUGGACAAUGGGCGAAAGCCUGAUCCAGCCAUGCCGCGUGUGUGAAGAAGGUCUUCGGAUUGUAAAGCACUUUAAGUUGGGAGGAAGGGUUGUAGAUUAAUACUCUGCAAUUUUGACGUUACCGACAGAAUAAGCACCGGCUAACUCUGUGCCAGCAGCCGCGGUAAUACAGAGGGUGCAAGCGUUAAUCGGAAUUACUGGGCGUAAAGCGCGCGUAGGUGGUUUGUUAAGUUGGAUGUGAAAUCCCCGGGCUCAACCUGGGAACUGCAUCCAAAACUGGCAAGCUAGAGUAUGGUAGAGGGUGGUGGAAUUUCCUGUGUAGCGGUGAAAUGCGUAGAUAUAGGAAGGAACACCAGUGGCGAAGGCGACCACCUGGACUGAUACUGACACUGAGGUGCGAAAGCGUGGGGAGCAAACAGGAUUAGAUACCCUGGUAGUCCACGCCGUAAACGAUGUCAACUAGCCGUUGGGAGCC
RNAcentral lists this ribosomal RNA (800 nucleotides) under Pseudomonas sp. JSM 2215119. Its description in RNAcentral is "bacterial SSU rRNA". It matches the Rfam family "Bacterial small subunit ribosomal RNA", at positions 35 to 831 of the family's 1533-position model. Lineage: Bacteria; Pseudomonadati; Pseudomonadota; Gammaproteobacteria; Pseudomonadales; Pseudomonadaceae. The record is from RNAcentral.